AGUGAACGCUGGCGGUAGGCCUAACACAUGCAAGUCGAACGGCCGCACAGUAACAGCUUGCUCUUACGGGUGGCGAGUGGCGGACGGGUGAGGAAUACAUCGGAAUCUACUUUUUCGUGGGGGAUAACGUAGGGAAACUUACGCUAAUACCGCAUACGACCUACGGGUGAAAGCAGGGGAUCUUCGGACCUUGCGCGAUUGAAUGAGCCGAUGUCGGAUUAGCUAGUUGGCGGGGUAAAGGCCCACCAAGGCGACGAUACGUAGCUGGUCUGAGAGGAUGAUCAGCCACACUGGAACUGAGACACGGUCCAGACUCCUGCGGGAGGCAGCAGUGGGGAAUAUUGGACAAUGGGCGCAAGCCUGAUCCAGCCAUACCGCGUGGGUGAAGAAGGCCUUCGGGUUGUAAAGCCCUUUUGUUGGGAAAGAAAAGCAGCAGGUUAAAACCCCGCUGUUCUGACGGUACCCAAAGAAUAAGCACCGGCUAACUUCGUG
Molecule: ribosomal RNA, 492 nt
Filed under: uncultured bacterium
Lineage: Bacteria
Description: partial 16S ribosomal RNA
Rfam family: Bacterial small subunit ribosomal RNA
Source: RNAcentral